This is a long non-coding RNA of Gymnodraco acuticeps, 1959 nucleotides long. RefSeq lists it as uncharacterized. The transcript has 8 exons. NCBI's taxonomy places the organism in Eukaryota, Metazoa, Chordata, Actinopteri, Perciformes, Bathydraconidae. The record is from RefSeq and is a predicted model, not a curated record.
GAGCCAGACCCAGGGACUGCUUUGAUCUUCGCGCCAGUGAGAGGACUUGCUGGUUUAUCAAGAGACAAUAGCUGAACUCACUGCCAGAGUGGUAGGAGUAUUGAAGAAAUUAUAAGUGUAACGAGAAAUACAGCCUCAAAUUCCCAACUACAUUUUCCGACUGCCGUUUGAAAAGCUUCAGUGCCUUAAAUACAACACAAGGGUCUGAAACUCAAGCAACUGUGGGGGUUGUGUUCCAUGGGACUACUGCCAUUGCAGAUCUCCCACAGAAUGAUGUUGUUGCUCAAACCUUAGUAGAAGCUCUGAGUAAUUCCACCAAACCUGAGCAUUCAUCCUGCUUCAGUCAAAGUAUUAGCAAGUCCAGUACCAGAUAAGAUCACAACUGCACCGACAACACCUGUUGCAACAAACACAGCAGCCUCUGCACCUACAUAUUUUCUCUCAGCAAAAUUGACAGAACCAGCUUUUUCAUCUGCCCUCACUGACUCCAACAGCAAUGAAUACAAAGCACUUGAAGGAGAAGUUCUAAAUGCGUGUGAUAAAACAUACAGAACAAAAUAUCCCAAAACAUUUUCCCACUGCGUUUUGGAAGGAUUCAGUGCCGUAAAUCCACGACUUUCCGAAACUCAAGUGAAGAUGGCAGUUGUGUUCCAUGGGAAUACUUCUCAAGCAGAACUCCCAAUGAAUUCUGUUGUUGUUAAAGACUUCGUACAAGCUGUAAACAAUCCCAACAAUGGCUUCAAUCUGAGCAUAAAUUCCGCCUCAGUCACAAUAUUAGGUAAGUAUCCACAACAUAAUAUUUUGCUUGAUCAGUUUGUUAAUACAAUUAUGUUAAAAAAAAGAAAAUAGAGACGAUAAACCGAAGAUAUUUUUAAUGAAUUGCAUUAUUUAUUUAUUUUUAACCUAGUUUAUAACCAGAAAGUCUACAAAACCAACUUUUUGAAAGCUUUUAAUUAUUUUUUCAAUUGGUUUGUUCAUCAAACAAGCAAAAGGCAAUGGAUAGUAUGGGAACCAAUACUUUUACCAAAUAAAUAUGAUCUAUAUAUUUGUUUUUAUAGCAAGUCCUGCUGCACAUAACACUGUUGCAGCUGCAACUACUACUGCAGAACUCAUUAUAAAAAGGGUGGUAUUCAGGUCUCUUCUAAAGAACUUUACAAGUGACUUGCUGAAUCCAUCAUCUACAGCUUAUAAAAAUCGAGCUGCAACGAUUAAAUAAGAGGUACGUCUCAUUCUUACAAAUAAAUCUCCUGGUUCACCUACUGUAUAUGUAUAUGCGGAGCUCAAGCACACAUUCAAAGAACACUUACAUCUUACAUGUAUUAUGUGUUUCCUCUGUAAACAACCUGUUUCUGCAGCUUACACCUGUUUUCCAGAGUGCAUGCCCGUCUUCCUUUAAGUCCUUGGAAGUGGUGUCAUUCAGUGAUGGAUCGAUCGUCAACACCAUGGAUGUUUACUUUUCGAGCACACCUGCUGAUUCAGAUGAUUUUCUGAUUGCAAGCGUUUUAAUGCGCGCAGCUGCAAGCAUCACCGGCUUUGACAUUGAGGGGAGCUCCAUCUCCGUGAAUGGCCUAACUUCAAGUGGAGUAAGCCAUAACAUCAGUCUCAUGACCGCAUCCUGCCUAGCGAUGUUGUCAUGGCUACUGUCAAGCCAACAAUGGCAGUAGUGCUGAUUUCCAUCAUUGAAAAGCGACUGGUGUAUUAAUUAUUGUACAGCUUGAAUACAAAGCAUAACAGUAUAACUUGGGAUGUACAGUAGAUGUAAAUUAUGUUCACUAAGCACUUUCCUUUAGAACUAUCUUUCUUAGUGAAGGUUUUUAAUAAUGUAUUUUUUAAUUAUAAAUGAAAACUGUGGGCUGCACAUCCUAACAUUGAACUAAUGCAUACCGUUUUAUCAUGAAAUGUUCUUAUUUAUAAAAACUAUUUAUUUAUACAACCUUGCACAGCUGUAUUUUGUUAGAU